CUCAUAUGGCUCGAACUGGCUCGUGUGUGGUUCCACUGAACCGCCGCCACCGCACUCCACACACAUACACGCGACGGCUGGCUGACUGACUGACACUCCGUACAAAAUGGCUGCACUGUCAUGAGGAUUUUCAGAUGUCAUCGGGCUUUAGCUAUUGAAUAAAAUAUACGCGACGGAUUUAAAAUUUCCGAAAGGACCAAACAAUUAAGCGUUAGCAUAAAAACUGUGAGAUAAACUAAGAAAAGUUGUGAUUUUUUAGCUUAAAUCGUAAGAAAUUUGUGCGAAAGGUCGAGCGCAGAAAACGGAGACGUGAGAAAAAAUUUUCUAUGCGAGUUCGCCAAGUUCCCGACGUCGGGAAAUAGAAGAGAAGCUGCUAUUUUCUACAAUAAGAAAGCCUUGCUGAACGUGAUGCGCACUGGGAUUACCAGAGAACGAAUUUGUUGCUGAAACUCUUGACUGCAUGCAAACGGAACAAAAAUUUAAAAAUAGUGCGAUUAUUGUAAAAGAAUAUAACUUAAAGAGCCUUAUAAAAGUGUAAACGCCUUUUUGAAAGUUUUUUUUACUACCAAUAACACGUUCGAUGUUGAAUUAAAAAAAGAAAAUUGUAAGAAGGGGAGAGAUUGGAAGAUUCUCUGCCGCAUAUCAAAACGGAGAACAGCUAAAAGGACCUAGCGGAGAAAGAAGCAGGCAUUGCUGAAGGAUUUUAUAUAGAAAGUGCUUUUAUUAUUCGAAUAAGUUUAGAGAAAGGAAGCGGAAUAAGGCAAAAAAAGAUAUUGAAGAAACUGUAAAUAUCUAUUUCUAUCGAAUAACGUUUGAUUAUAAUCAAAACAAAAUAGAACAAAAAGGCAUAGUCUAAUAAUUCUAUGUUUUGCGGUAACGGUAGUAGUGCUGGAAUGGCUACACUGUUACAGCAAAAAACUAGUAACUGUAUGAAAACAUUAUCAAAUGGCGGCGUAGUUGGUAGUGGAGCGACCGGUGGCAGUAGCAAUAAUCUAAACAGUACAUCAUCUGCUGCCACAACCAUACAACAAACAAGACUUAUUCUGCCACACGAAAUGGUCAAUUUACCUGUAACAGGUAAUCUAGUAGCCCCAUCGACUGGUCUAUGUUCAGUUUCGUCAACGAAUUACGUCAAUGUAACCUCAUCGUCAGGUGGAGCCUUCGUUGUCGCACAGCAACAUAGUCAGCAAAUAAUUCAGCAACAAUCAUUACAACACGAGUCUAACAACAGUCACGUUCAAUUCAGUAAUCAAGUCAAUCCUCUAUCGCAAUUCAACAGAUUCUUUACACAGAACAAUUUCCAAGAUGGAAGCAUCGGAUACAUGCCGGUGACUACAGCGUCAGUCAUUAAUAGUAUCAAAAAUGCACCUAGCACAAGCUCUCAUAUUCUCAUUACAAAUUCCGCCAGUAAUAUGGUAACGGCUGCAUCAACGUUAGUCGCAGGAACAGCCCCCCUCACUGUUGCAACGCUAGCACAUCAUAAUCAAAAUCACUCCUCGCAGUACGAACAAACAACCCCUAACACACAAAAUCGAGAUAUCACAGUUACAUCAUCGUUAGCCUCCAAGUCGCAGCUGACGACAGUGUCACAAUAUGAAAACUCCGCAUCUGAUCAGUCACAUUGCCUAGAUAGUAGCGCUAGAAACGUAAACUCCGCCGAAAAUCAUGAAAUUGUUGAUAAUGGCGACGACUACACAAAUUCUGCUGCAUCAGAUUGCAAUCGUGAUAUUAAGAAGGAUCAUUCAAACCUUGCCAACGGUGAUAUUCAAGCUGAGAAUGCUGAAGCAGCAGCGGAUCAAGAUGCGGAUCCUGAAAUUGAUAUAGUUAUAAAUAAUGUAGUAUGUUCGUUUAGUGUUAGAUGUCAUUUAAAUCUACGAGAGAUUGCAUUAAACGGUUUCAAUGUUGAAUUUCGACGUGAGAACGGAAUGGUCACAAUGAAAUUACGUCGGCCAUAUACGACGGCUUCUAUAUGGUCGUCUGGAAGAAUUACAUGUACUGGUGCUACAUCUGAAGAUCAAGCGAAAAUUGCAGCACGUCGGUACGCUCGUUGCCUUCAAAAACUAGGAUUUAAUGUAAGAUUUCAUAAUUUUCGGGUAGUAAACGUUCUUGGAACAUGUAGUAUGCCAUGGGCAAUAAAAAUAGUGAAUUUUUCGGAGAGAUACAAAAAGGAAGCCAGUUAUGAGCCUGAAUUGCACCCGGGCGUUACAUACAAACUGAAAUAUCCCAAAGCAACUUUGAAGAUCUUCUCGACUGGAAGUAUAACAGUUACCGCUGGCAGUGUGGCGCAUGUUCAGGCGGCGAUAGAGCAUAUUUUCCCACUAGUCUACGAGUUUCGAAAGAAGCGUACAUUGGAGGAUAUGGAAUUGUUACGUUCAAAGCAGAACUUACGCGAGGAAGAAGCGGAAGUGGAAGAAGAAGUACAUUCCCCUAGUCCAAAGAGGAAAAGACCUUUUGGAUACGCCGAAAACGAUCCAAAUGAAGAUAUUAUGUAUGUUUCUGAUGUGGAAGACUGCGAAAUAGAAGGGGGCUUAUAAGAUAAUGAGGAGUUAUACAAUUAUAUCGUAUGCAAAAGCAAGAAUAACACAAAACCUAAACAAAUUUUAUUGUAUUGAAAUUGAAACCAAAAUAUUCAGUUCUUAUGAGCUAUAGGCGUAUCUUUGCAACAACUGUACUCGACCAACACCUAGGAACGGAGAGAAUUAUACCCGAUUUUCUCCCAACAACAUACAAUGCAAGUAUACAUUUUAAAUUAUUUAUGAGCUAAGUGUGCGAGAAUCCAAACGAAACAUGAUAUUUUCUUUAGUAAGGAUGUUAACAAAUAUUUAUGAUCAAACUAAUUUUUAUUGUAAUUAUCACAUCAUUUAUUUUUGCUUUCUGUGAAAUAUCGUAUCGAUACUGUUCUACCGUUUAUAUAUAAUAUUUUUUAAUUUUAAAAUUACUUUAGUCGAACACUAUUUAAAGAAAGUUAUUAAAUUAUGCGAUGAACUAGAAAUAGUGGUUGAAUGUUCGAGAAGAGUCGCUUCCAUGAAGUAUGACCACGAACACUACCUGUGCUGAUGAUAAUAGCAAUAGUGGACACAAUAAUUGAAAUUUGCAAUUCGAAUACGUCUUCUUUUUUGUUAACAAUAUAUUCAUAGAGGAACAAAACAUGUAGCUUUUAAUUGUUGAUUAAAAUUGUUUAUUGUAACGGGUGCGUUUUGAAUCCAAAGAAUUUAUGUAAAGUAUCGAAAUCUUAUAUAAAACUGAGGAAAGAAUAUUAAGAGAACUUAUUAUACAUUAAGUAAAUUAUAUACGAAAGGUAAUAAUAGCAUUAUAAAAGUCUGCUGUCAUAUUCUAAACUUCUACGGAUAAUGUUUCUGUUACGACUGAUCAUGUAUGUGCAUUGCUGAUAUACAUAAACGAAUUAUUACUGACAACAAAACAUUACUAUCCAAGAAGCUUUUAUUAUAUAAGAAUCAUUAAAAAUAUUGUCAUAUUGUUCCUAUGCGUUGCUUUGAAAACAAGCAAGUCGUUGUUCUGUUUGAAAAACAAUGAAAUGAGAAGGAAAAGCUGACGAACAAACAACGAAAACGAAAAAAAGAAUUCAGUUAAUAAAUGCAAUGUGUUCAAAUUUGAUAAUAAGUAAAAUGCAAUUAAAAUUGUUAUCAGUACCUCA
Molecule: unclassified non-coding RNA, 3655 nt
Filed under: Hermetia illucens (black soldier fly)
Lineage: Eukaryota; Metazoa; Arthropoda; Insecta; Diptera; Stratiomyidae
Description: uncharacterized LOC119658299, transcript variant X2
Source: RNAcentral